Molecule: ribosomal RNA, 450 nt
Filed under: uncultured bacterium
Lineage: Bacteria
Description: partial 16S ribosomal RNA
Rfam family: Bacterial small subunit ribosomal RNA
Source: RNAcentral
GUGGGGAAUUUUGGACAAUGGGCGCAAGCCUGAUCCAGCAAUGCCGCGUGCAGGAAGAAGGCCUUCGGGUUGUAAACUGCUUUUGUACGGAACGAAACGGUCCGGGUUAAUACCCUGGGCUAAUGACGGUACCGUAAGAAUAAGCACCGGCUAACUACGUGCCAGCAGCCGCGGUAAUACGUAGGGUGCAAGCGUUAAUCGGAAUUACUGGGCGUAAAGCGUGCGCAGGCGGUUUUGUAAGACAGGCGUGAAAUCCCCGGGCUCAACCUGGGAAUUGGGCUUGAGACUGCAAGGCUGGAGUGCGGCAGAGGGGGAUGGAAUUCCGCGUGUAGCAGUGAAAUGCGUAGAUAUGCGGAGGAACACCGAUGGCGAAGGCAAUCCCCUGGGCCUGCACUGACGCUCAUGCACGAAAGCGUGGGGAGCAAACAGGAUUAGAUACCCGGGUAGUCC